GACGAACGCUGGCGGCGUGCUUAACACAUGCAAGUCGAGCGGUAAGGCCCUUUCGGGGGUACGACGAGCGGCGAACGGGUGAGUAACACGUGGGUGACCUGCCCUCAGCUCUGGGAUAAGCCUGGGAAACCGGGUCUAAUACUGGAUAUGACUCCAUGACGCAUGUUGUGGGGUGGAAAGCCUUGUGCGGCUGAGGAUGGGCCCGCGGCCUAUCAGCUUGUUGGUGGGGUGAGGCCUACCAAGGCGACGACGGGUAGCCGGCCUGAGAGGGCGACCGGCCACACUGGGACUGAGACACGGCCCAGACUCCUACGGGAGGCAGCAGUGGGGAAUCUUGCGC
This 340-nucleotide ribosomal RNA is filed under the name uncultured bacterium. Its description in RNAcentral is "bacterial SSU rRNA". It matches the Rfam family "Bacterial small subunit ribosomal RNA", at positions 28 to 369 of the family's 1533-position model. The record is from RNAcentral.